GAUGAACGCUGGCGGCGUGCCUAAUACAUGCAAGUCGAGCGAACAGACGAGGAGCUUGCUCCUCUGAUGUUAGCGGCGGACGGGUGAGUAACACGUGGAUAACCUACCUAUAAGACUGGGAUAACUUCGGGAAACCGGAGCUAAUACCGGAUAAUAUUUUGAACCGCAUGGUUCAAAAGUGAAAGACGGUUUUGCUGUCACUUAUAGAUGGAUCCGCGCCGCAUUAGCUAGUUGGUAAGGUAACGGCUUACCAAGGCAACGAUGCGUAGCCGACCUGAGAGGGUGAUCGGCCACACUGGAACUGAGACACGGUCCAGACUCCUACGGGAGGCAGCAGUAGGGAAUCUUCCGCAAUGGGCGAAAGCCUGACGGAGCAACGCCGCGUGAGUGAUGAAGGUCUUCGGAUCGUAAAACUCUGUUAUUAGGGAAGAACAAAUGUGUAAGUAACUAUGCACGUCUUGACGGUACCUAAUCAGAAAGCCACGGCUAACUUCGUG
This 497-nucleotide ribosomal RNA is filed under the name uncultured bacterium. Its description in RNAcentral is "partial 16S ribosomal RNA". It matches the Rfam family "Bacterial small subunit ribosomal RNA", at positions 28 to 507 of the family's 1533-position model. The record is from RNAcentral.